Molecule: ribosomal RNA, 312 nt
Filed under: uncultured Pseudomonadota bacterium
Lineage: Bacteria; Pseudomonadati; Pseudomonadota
Description: bacterial SSU rRNA
Rfam family: Bacterial small subunit ribosomal RNA
Source: RNAcentral
AACGAACGCUGGCGGCGUGCUUAACACAUGCAAGUCGAACGAGAAAGUCCUUCGGGAUGAGUAGAGUGGCGCACGGGUGAGUAAUAUAUGGGAACAUGCCUUUUGGUCGGGGAUAACCACGGGAAACUGUGGCUAAUACCGGAUGGUCUCGCAAGAGUAAAGGUGGCGCAAGCUACCGCCAUUAGAUUGGCCCAUAUCCUAUCAGCUAGUUGGUGAGGUAACGGCUCACCAAGGCGAUGACGGGUAGCUGGUCUGAGAGGAUGAUCAGCCACACUGGAACUGAGACACGGUCCAGACUCCUACGGGAGGCUG